This 20-nucleotide ribosomal RNA is filed under the name Sympetrum danae (black darter). RNAcentral's name for it is "partial 28S ribosomal RNA". RNAcentral also lists the same sequence under 4 other names. Lineage: Eukaryota; Metazoa; Arthropoda; Insecta; Odonata; Libellulidae. The record is from RNAcentral.
ACCUCAGAGCAGGCGAGAUC